GUACUUAACGUGGCAAGGGAGAUUCCAGAAUCAUGAAGGUGGUUUCCCCAGGGUGAGGUUCUUUUAUUACAUGUAGUAUGUGUUGAUCCCUAUGAUUUCCCCAAAUUUUGGAAACUGCAUAAUUUUUGGUAGUGGGGGACUGCAUUCAUGCUACCCCCCC
Phodopus roborovskii (desert hamster) is the source of this 160-nucleotide small nuclear RNA. RefSeq annotates it as U1 spliceosomal RNA. The transcript has a single exon. Lineage: Eukaryota; Metazoa; Chordata; Mammalia; Rodentia; Cricetidae. The record is from RefSeq and is a predicted model, not a curated record.